AUACGGAGGUUGCAAGCGUUAUUCGGAAUCACUGGGCGUAAAGGACGCGUAGGCGGGUUGGCAAGUCAGAUGUGAAAUCCUACAGCUUAACUGUAGAACUGCAUUUGAAACUGCUAACCUAGAGUAUGGGAGGGGGAGAUGGAAUUAGUGGUGUAGGGGUAAAAUCCGUAGAUAUCACUAGGAAUACCGAAAGCGAAGGCGAUCUCCUGGAACAUAACUGACGCUAAGGCGUGAAAGCGUGGGGAGCAAACAGGAUUAGAAACCCUAGUAGUCC
Molecule: ribosomal RNA, 274 nt
Filed under: uncultured bacterium
Lineage: Bacteria
Description: partial 16S ribosomal RNA
Rfam family: Bacterial small subunit ribosomal RNA
Source: RNAcentral